CAGUUCCUGAGAAGAGGGCAUAUACCAUAACACAGGACCAGAAAAGGAGGCACCAGGGUUGGCUAUCUGACAGGAGAGGGAAUGCCAGGGUUGUCUGCUGAUGACCUGGGACUGACCACUCUACCUGAAGUACUGUUGCCGGCCCCUCGUGCGCACAUCCUGCUUCACCUCCAGGGUAUGGUACAGCCAGAGGUAGCAGUGUGAUGUUCUUCGGGGCGGAGUUUGGAGUCGAUCGUUCUGGCGAAUGAAGCUGAAAGACUGAGAAAGAGAACUGCACCAGAGAAGUGCAUCACGUGGCGUGGCCAAUUCCUUGGAUGCCUCCAGAGCCUCUUCUGUUCAUCUGAGAAGAGCCACUUUCAAUUCCAACAACUCGAUUUGUAGUAUCUAGCCUGCUAUAAUUCAGUUUAUUGUUAGUGACAAAGAAGAAUGUACGUUCUGCAUAUGACAUCUGAUUUAAUUUCUUUAUUACAACUAUUAUAUCCAUUAAAUAUCAAAUUUGCUGGUGUAUUAUCAUCUGACACAGUGUGAGUCACUGGUUCAUACACAGGGAACAAUAACAAUAAUUUAAAAUAAAAGAGAGAGACAUUUCA
This is a long non-coding RNA of Peromyscus maniculatus bairdii (prairie deer mouse), 590 nucleotides long. RefSeq lists it as uncharacterized. The record is from RefSeq and is a predicted model, not a curated record. NCBI's taxonomy places the organism in Eukaryota, Metazoa, Chordata, Mammalia, Rodentia, Cricetidae.